RNAcentral lists this ribosomal RNA (477 nucleotides) under uncultured bacterium. RNAcentral describes it as "partial 16S ribosomal RNA". It matches the Rfam family "Bacterial small subunit ribosomal RNA", at positions 28 to 507 of the family's 1533-position model. The record is from RNAcentral.
GAUGAACGCUGGCGGCGUGCCUAACACAUGCAAGUCGAACGCAGCACCUUACCUGAUUCUUCGGGUGAAAGUUUGGUGACUGAGUGGCGGACGGGUGAGUAACGCGUGGGUAACCUGCCCUGUUCAGGGGAAUAACAGCUGGAACCGGAUGCUAAUACCGCAUACACGCACGAGGAUACAUCUCCUUGUGUGAAAAACUCCGGUGGGACAGUAUGGGCCCUCGGCUGGUUAGCUGGUUGGCAGGGUAACGGCCCACCAAGGCAACGAUCAGGAGCCGGGCGGAGAGGAUGACCGGCCAUAUUGGAAGUGAGACACGGACCGAACCCCUACGGGAGGAAGCAGUGGGGAAUAUUGCACACUGGGGGAAUGCCUGAUGCAGCAACGCCGCGUGAGUGAAGAAUUAUUGCGGUAUGUAAAGCUCUAUCAGCAGGGAAGAUAAUGACGGUACCUGACUAAGAAGCGCCGGCUAAAUACGUG